Non-coding RNA from Hordeum vulgare subsp. vulgare (domesticated barley), 124 nucleotides. The record is from Rfam. NCBI's taxonomy places the organism in Eukaryota, Viridiplantae, Streptophyta, Magnoliopsida, Poales, Poaceae.
AUAUUACUUCCUCCAUUCAAAAAUAAUUGUUCUAAAGAUGUAUACAAUGGAUGUAUCUUUAAUUAAAGUAAGUCUAGAUACAUCGAUUUUUAGAACAAGUAUUUCGGGGCGGAGGGAGUAUCCU